Molecule: ribosomal RNA, 202 nt
Filed under: uncultured bacterium
Lineage: Bacteria
Description: partial 16S ribosomal RNA
Rfam family: Bacterial small subunit ribosomal RNA
Source: RNAcentral
AUUGCAGGCUGCAACUCGCCUGUAUGAAGUCGGAAUUGCUAGUAAUCGCGGAUCAGCAUGCCGCGGUGAAUACGUUCCCGGCCUUGUACACACCGCCCGUCACACCAUGAGAGCCGGAACACCCGAAGUCCGUAGUCUAACCGCAAGGAGGACGCGGCCGAAGGUGGGUUUGGUAAUUGGGGUGAAGUCGUAACAAGGUAAC